AUGAGCUUGCCUUUCGGCGUAGGCUCUUUGGGGAGCUUGUGGAUCAAUGGAAGUGGAUUGGAUGAAGCAAAGAAAAAAGCGCUGAAUGACGAACCAGAUUCAGUAUCCUGGUCUUUGAGUAGAAAAGGAAAAUUCACCACAAAAUCUGUGUAUGACUGGUUGGAAAGAGAUCUAUCUGGCCCUAGUUACAAAUGGGUGUGGAAAGCUAAUAUCCCCUUGAAAAUCAAGAUUUUUCUGUGGCAGUUGUUUCAAAAUGCAGUUCCUACGUGUGAUAACAUGCGCUGUAGGAAUUGGCCUGGAAACCCUGUGUGUUCUUUCUGCAAUAACAUAAAAACUGCCAACCAUCUCUUUUUCUCUUACCCGCUUGCUCGAACUGUCUGGGGUACACUGGGAUUGACAGUUGGGGUUUCCCAUUGUCCCCGGUCGCUAUGGCAAAGCUUGGCUUGGUUAUACAAAAUCUUCCCGGGAGGGGAUAAAUUCUAUAUGAUGAUUAUUGCAGGCAUUUGCUGGGGGAUUUGGUGCCUUCGUAACAAAGUUACUUUUGAUAAUCAUGAUGCUCGAACUCCUUUGGAGGCUGUUUUAACCGCUUGUUCUUUUAUGCUAUACUGGGCAGGGCUUCUUAAGGAGGACGACAGGACAAAGUUCAAGGCUGGUGUGAAGAGGUUGGUGCAUGUGGCAACUGCUUUGGCGGAUAGAUCAUUCUCGCGAGGCAGGCUUCUUCUGGGAGAUGGUGAUGGUAUUCAGAUCGGCUAG
This 753-nucleotide ribosomal RNA is filed under the name Triticum aestivum (bread wheat). RNAcentral describes it as "partial small subunit ribosomal RNA". The record is from RNAcentral. Lineage: Eukaryota; Viridiplantae; Streptophyta; Magnoliopsida; Poales; Poaceae.